RNAcentral lists this ribosomal RNA (495 nucleotides) under uncultured bacterium. RNAcentral describes it as "bacterial SSU rRNA". It matches the Rfam family "Bacterial small subunit ribosomal RNA", at positions 30 to 516 of the family's 1533-position model. The record is from RNAcentral.
AUUGAACGCUGGCGGCAGGCCUAACACAUGCAAGUCGAGCGGAUGAGUGGAGCUUGCUCCAUGAUUCAGCGGCGGACGGGUGAGUAAUGCCUAGGAAUCUGCCUGGUAGUGGGGGACAACGUUUCGAAAGGAACGCUAAUACCGCAUACGUCCUACGGGAGAAAGCAGGGGACCUUCGGGCCUUGCGCUAUCAGAUGAGCCUAGGUCGGAUUAGCUAGUAGGUGAGGUAAUGGCUCACCUAGGCGACGAUCCGUAACUGGUCUGAGAGGAUGAUCAGUCACACUGGAACUGAGACACGGUCCAGACUCCUACGGGAGGCAGCAGUGGGGGAAUAUUGGACAAUGGGCGAAAGCCUGAUCCAGCCAUGCCGCGUGUGUGAAGAAGGUCUUCGGAUUGUAAAGCACUUUAAGUUGGGAGGAAGGGCAGUAAGUUAAUACCUUGCUGUUUUGACGUUUACCAACAGAAUAAGCACCGGCUAACUUCGUGCCAGCAGCC